RNAcentral lists this ribosomal RNA (115 nucleotides) under Cordylochernes scorpioides. The record is from RNAcentral. Lineage: Eukaryota; Metazoa; Arthropoda; Arachnida; Pseudoscorpiones; Chernetidae.
ACGGCCAUACCACAUUGAAAACACCGGUUCUCGUCCGAUCACCGAAGUUAAGCAAUGUCGGGCCCGGUCAGUACUAGGGAGGGUGACCACCUGGGAACACCGGGUGCUGUAGGCU